This 86-nucleotide transfer RNA is filed under the name Actinomycetaceae bacterium. Its description in RNAcentral is "tRNA-Ser". It matches the Rfam family "tRNA". From Rfam's summary of the family: Transfer RNA (tRNA) molecules are approximately 80 nucleotides in length. Lineage: Bacteria; Bacillati; Actinomycetota; Actinomycetes; Actinomycetales; Actinomycetaceae. The record is from RNAcentral.
GGAGCGGUGACCGAGCGGCCGAAGGUGACGGUCUUGAAAACCGUUGUGCACCUUGUGCACCGUGGGUUCGAAUCCCACCCGCUCCG